This 79-nucleotide transfer RNA is filed under the name Marmota monax (woodchuck). RNAcentral describes it as "tRNA.Val". Lineage: Eukaryota; Metazoa; Chordata; Mammalia; Rodentia; Sciuridae. The record is from RNAcentral.
GGGGCUGGAAACAGAGCUCAGUUGGUAGAGUGCUUGCCUCACAUGCACGAGGACCUAGGUUCAAUCCUUAACACCCCCA